GGGGAAUAUUGGGCAAUGGGCGCAAGCCUGACCCAGCAACGCCGCGUGAAGGAAGAAGGCUUUCGGGUUGUAAACUUCUUUUGGCAGGGACGAAGAAAGUGACGGUACCUGCAGAAUAAGCUCCGGCUAACUACGUGCCAGCAGCCGCGGUAAUACGUAGGGAGCAAGCGUUAUCCGGAUUUACUGGGUGUAAAGGGCGCGUAGGCGGGACUGCAAGUCAGAUGUGAAAUCUGGGGGCUCAACCCCCAAACUGCAUUUGAAACUGUGGUUCUUGAGUGAUGGAGAGGCAAGUGGAAUUCCUAGUGUAGCGGUGAAAUGCGUAGAUAUUAGGAGGAACACCAGUGGCGAAGGCGACUUGCUGGACAUUAACUGACGCUGAGGCGCGAAAGCGUGGGGAGCAAAC
RNAcentral lists this ribosomal RNA (403 nucleotides) under uncultured bacterium. RNAcentral describes it as "bacterial SSU rRNA". It matches the Rfam family "Bacterial small subunit ribosomal RNA", at positions 356 to 773 of the family's 1533-position model. The record is from RNAcentral.